UACGUAGGGUGCGAGCGUUAAUCGGAAUUACUGGGCGUAAAGCGUGCGCAGGCGGUGAUGUAAGACAGAUGUGAAAUCCCCGGGCUCAACCUGGGACCUGCAUUGUGACUGCAUCGCUAGAGUACGGCAGAGGGGGAUGGAAUUCCGCGUGUAGCAGUGAAAUGCGUAGAUAUGCGGAGGAACACCGAUGGCGAAGGCAAUCCCCUGGGCCUGUACUGACGCUCAUGCACGAAAGCGUGGGGAGCAAACAGG
This 252-nucleotide ribosomal RNA is filed under the name uncultured bacterium. RNAcentral describes it as "partial 16S ribosomal RNA". It matches the Rfam family "Bacterial small subunit ribosomal RNA", at positions 524 to 776 of the family's 1533-position model. The record is from RNAcentral.